ACGGAGGAUCCAAGCGUUAUUCGGAUUUACUGGGUUUAAAGGGUGCGUAGGCGGAUUGAUAAGUCAGUGGUGAAAGCCUACAGCUUAACUGUAGAAUUGCAAUUGAUACUGCUAGUCUGGAGUAUGGUUGAGGAAGCUGGAAUGCGUCAUGUAGCGGUGAAAUGCGUAGAGAUGACGCGGAACACCGACGGCGAAGGCAGCUUUCUGGCCCAAUACUGACGCUGAGGCGCGAAAGCGUGGGGAGCAAACAG
This 251-nucleotide ribosomal RNA is filed under the name uncultured prokaryote. Its description in RNAcentral is "partial 16S rRNA". It matches the Rfam family "Bacterial small subunit ribosomal RNA", at positions 525 to 775 of the family's 1533-position model. The record is from RNAcentral.